RNAcentral lists this ribosomal RNA (230 nucleotides) under uncultured bacterium. RNAcentral describes it as "partial 16S ribosomal RNA". It matches the Rfam family "Bacterial small subunit ribosomal RNA", at positions 562 to 791 of the family's 1533-position model. The record is from RNAcentral.
AAAGGGUCCGUAGGCGGCCUUAUAAGUCAGUGGUGAAAUCUCCCGGCUCAACCGGGAAAUGGCCAUUGAUACUGUAGGGCUUGAAUUAUUAGGAAGUAACUAGAAUAUGUAGUGUAGCGGUGAAAUGCUUAGAGAUUACAUGGAAUACCAAUUGCGAAGGCAGGUUACUACUAAUGGAUUGACGCUGAUGGACGAAAGCGUGGGUAGCGAACAGGAUUAGAUACCCUUGU